ACACACAAGGAAAAGUCAGAGGCCUCUUGCCCACAGCCAGUGAGCCUUUCUAGAGAUAGAUUCUCCAGCCCAGUUGGGCCCUCCGGAGUCAACAUCUUGGCUGCAACCUCAUGAGACCCAGAAUUCCACACAAACAGAAACUCAACAAGUGCUUCCCAUUGGACCUCUCAGACCACAUUUGAGUGCAGAGAAGUGGCGCGAGAUAAGAGAACCGCACAAGAGGGCCGGCGUCCAUGAGGAGGCCGCGACUCGGGCACGGGUAAAUUCUUCCCAGUCCGUGAUGAAAAUCGCCGCUCGGCCACAACCGCCUGUGGGGGAGGGAGGAGAGGGUUGUGAACUCUCGUGUGGAAAUUCAAAACGUAAAAAGGAAGAAGAAUGGCUGAGAGGACUCAGUGGCCUGAGGUAUCAAAGGAAUUUGAGACAAAUGAUGAAAGAUAAGAAAAUGCAAGACACCCUCACGCCAUGUUCCUUCUGAUAGGGACCCAGGCAAGUUUCCGCCCCCACAGUGGCCCUUCCUCUUAGACUCCUGCUCCUUCAGAGCAGGCCUCAGCACCUCUUGGGAAAUUGGGCAAUGCCACCAUAACUGCCUGGCCCCACGGCCCCUUCACUGUGCCUUUUUUCUUCCCCUUUAUGCCCCUAGCCACCCUAUUCCCUAGCCAGGUUCCUGCCCUGCCUUACCCAACCCCAUGUGCUCUAUCACAGACUCCUGUGUCUUUCCUUUACAGAACUUAGCACAAGUUCCAAUUAUAUGUUAGUUUACUGAGUAAUGGAGGCCAGAUCCAUGUCUCCGGGGUUCAUUACUACAUUGUAGCUCCUAAUACUGUUCUUGGCACAUAGAUGGCACUCAAUAACAUAUUUUAAAUGGAUGGAUGAGCAAAUGGCUGCCUGACCCCGCUAACGGUCUCAGGCAACCCACUCAUGGUCAGGUGCAGCCUGUACCACUGGCGGGUUUGUUUAUUGUCCCUAGGGCGUGGCACAGAGGAGAAAUCUACUUAGGAGCUGAGUGCCCCCAGAAGGACUACUCCCCUAGGAAACAAAGCAGCCACUUCUCUCGGAGGGUUCCUAUGUUGCCACUAUGCCACUGUCCCUCCCCGGACCGCA
This is a long non-coding RNA of Callorhinus ursinus (northern fur seal), 1101 nucleotides long. RefSeq lists it as uncharacterized. NCBI's taxonomy places the organism in Eukaryota, Metazoa, Chordata, Mammalia, Carnivora, Otariidae. The record is from RefSeq and is a predicted model, not a curated record.